UCCUGGUGUCUAUGAUGAGUUUAUUUAUAUUUGGAAUUUAAUACAAUAUAAUGAUCCUUGUAAAUAAACUCAUCAUAGAUACUAGGACUAAAUUUUGUAUAUACGCCAGACGCGCAUUUCGUGUACAAAAGACUCAUCAGUGACGCUCGAAUCCAAAAAAGUUAAAAAGGCCAAAUAAAGUACGAAGUUGAAGAGCAUUGAGGACCAAAAUUCCUUAAAGUUUUGCAAAAUCCAUCUAAGGUAAGUGAUCCAUGUUACUAAUACAUACAAAAUGUGACUUUUAUAAAAACUUUUAUCAAAGGGAAUAUCUUUAUACUUUGGAUUCAUUUAUUUUUGGUGGAUAUUUUUUUCCUGGAUUGAGGAAAACUUUGGUUGAUAUUUGAUUUCCUCGUUGAACCAAUCUCUACAAGCAAAGCCUAUGCAAAAUUUGGGAUUUGUUGAACAUUUUAAAUUGUGGCUCACUUAAUAUACCAACAAAACUCACGAAAAUUGAAAUCCAACAACUAUUAAUGAAUCUACAGUAUGUAACUUAUUAACUCUUUAUAUAUUCUCCUUACACACAUUGCCUUUCUAAAUUAUGAUUGGUCAAUGACUUUGUUACUUGUCUAUCACAAAACCAGAUUUAAGGAAAUUUGUUUUCAAGAUUUAAUAAACACAUGCAUGGCAAUGGU
RNAcentral lists this long non-coding RNA (671 nucleotides) under Mytilus galloprovincialis (Mediterranean mussel). The record is from RNAcentral. Lineage: Eukaryota; Metazoa; Mollusca; Bivalvia; Mytilida; Mytilidae.